RNAcentral lists this ribosomal RNA (226 nucleotides) under uncultured bacterium. Its description in RNAcentral is "partial 16S ribosomal RNA". It matches the Rfam family "Bacterial small subunit ribosomal RNA", at positions 15 to 231 of the family's 1533-position model. The record is from RNAcentral.
GAUCAUGGCUCAGGAUGAACGCUAGCUACAGGCUUAACACAUGCAAGUCGAGGGGCAGCAUGGUCUUAGCUUGCUAAGGCUGAUGGCGACCGGCGCAUGGGUGAGUAACACGUAUCCAACCUGCCGUCUACUCUUGGCCAGCCUUCUGAAAGGAAGAUUAAUCCAGGACGGGAUCAUGAGUUCACAUGUCCGCAUGAUUAAAGGUAUUUCCGGUAGACGAUGGGGA